RNAcentral lists this ribosomal RNA (164 nucleotides) under uncultured bacterium. RNAcentral's name for it is "partial 16S ribosomal RNA". It matches the Rfam family "Bacterial small subunit ribosomal RNA", at positions 355 to 511 of the family's 1533-position model. The record is from RNAcentral.
UAGGGAAUCUUCCACAAUGGGCGCAAGCCUGAUGGAGCAACACCGCGUGAGUGAAGAAGGGUUUCGGCUCGUAAAACUCUGUUGUUAAAGAAGAACAUAUCUGAGAGUAACUGUUCAGGUAUUGACGGUAUUUAACCAGAAAGCCGCGGCUAACUACGUGCCAG